CAGUCGCCACGGUAAUACGAAGGGUGCAAGCGUUAAUCGGAAUUACUGGGCGUAAAGCGUGCGCAGGCGGUUGUGUAAGACAGGUGUGAAAUCCCCGGGCUUAACCUGGGAACUGCGCUUGUGACUGCACAGCUAGAGUAUGGCAGAGGGGGGUGGAAUUCCACGUGUAGCAGUGAAAUGCGUAGAGAUGUGGAGGAACACCGAUGGCGAAGGCAGCCCCCUGGGACAACACUGACGCUGAGGCACGAAAGCGUGGGGAGCAAACAGGAUUAGAUACCCGCGUAGUCCCUGUCUCUUAUAC
Molecule: ribosomal RNA, 301 nt
Filed under: uncultured bacterium
Lineage: Bacteria
Description: partial 16S ribosomal RNA
Rfam family: Bacterial small subunit ribosomal RNA
Source: RNAcentral